AUUGAUAUUGUAUUACCGCAUUUAAUUUAAUAUAAUAAUAUUAUAAUGUUGAUUACAGUAUAUAUAGAAUUACUAUGUGUGAUUCAAUUUAUAAAAUUCAGUAAUUCUGAUGGUAAAAAAUAUAAUAAUUUUGAUAGUAAGAGUUUUACAUAACAUGUAAGAUUACAUGCCAUCGGUAAUAUAAGAUAUCCGAGUCCCUAUUUGGUAAUAUUUUUGGAGUAGUUUUACACCAUUUUUAAUGUUACCAAUCAAAUUUCAAAUUGAAUGAACAAAACAUAGUAAUUCUGACCGAAUAACCGGAAUAAAAAACGCCCAAAUUUUAAAAUAAUAAUAAUAAUAUUAU
This 343-nucleotide long non-coding RNA is filed under the name Ananas comosus (pineapple). RNAcentral's name for it is "long non-coding RNA (ACOM_LNC006100)". Lineage: Eukaryota; Viridiplantae; Streptophyta; Magnoliopsida; Poales; Bromeliaceae. The record is from RNAcentral.